AACGCGAAGAACCUUACCUACCUUUGACAUUUUAAGAAUCUCGUGGAGACAUGGGAGUGCUGGAAACAGAGCUUAAGAACAGGUGCUGCAUGGCUGUCGUCAGCUCGUGUCGUGAGAUGUUGGGUUAAGUCCCGUAACGAGCGCAACCCUCGUUCUUAGUUGCCAACAGGUAAAGCUGGGGACUCUAAGAAGACUGCCGGUGACAAGCCGGAGGAAGGCGGGGAUGAUGUCAAGUCCUCAUGGCCCUUACAGGUAGGGCAACACACGUGCUACAAUGGCUGGUACAAAGGGAAGCGAAGUCGCAAGACGGAGCGAAUCCGAAAAAGCCAGUCUUAGUCCGGAUUGGAGUCUGGAACUCGACUCCAUGAAGCUGGAAUCGCUAGUAAUCGUAGAUCAGCACGCUACGGUGAAUACGUUCCCGGGCCUUGUACACACCGAGACGAC
Molecule: ribosomal RNA, 444 nt
Filed under: uncultured bacterium
Lineage: Bacteria
Description: bacterial SSU rRNA
Rfam family: Bacterial small subunit ribosomal RNA
Source: RNAcentral